This is a long non-coding RNA of Solanum dulcamara, 606 nucleotides long. RefSeq lists it as uncharacterized. Lineage: Eukaryota; Viridiplantae; Streptophyta; Magnoliopsida; Solanales; Solanaceae. The record is from RefSeq and is a predicted model, not a curated record. The transcript is spliced from 2 exons.
ACUUGCACUGCGAACACAAAUAGGAUACCGAAUCUUAAUCUAUUAGAAAUCCAUUACAUAUAUAAUUUCAAAUGAUUGGCUAAUCAGAUGUCAAUCAUUGGCAUCAUUAACCAAUACAGGGCAUUAAAAAAAUUAUCCCCUCCCCCUAAGCUUGAAAAGACCACGAUCUGUGAGGAUUUGCAGAUUCAAUUUGCUUGCAAGUUUGAUUCUUUUUUCUCCUCACUCCUCAAUACAAUAUAAUAACAUGGACCAUAUGAAAUUAAAGCGCUAUAGGGUGGCUACCUGAAGCUUUUGGUUGUUCCUUGUUCGGUGUUGCCGCAUAAGACUGAACCGAAAAAUCACAAAAUGCAACACAACAAGGGGGUCGUUAGACCGUAGCUUACGCGAAGGAAGGAUUGACAAAUCUAUAGUGACGGGUCUAUUUUCUUCUAGGCGAGCUGUGAAGCUACUUUUUCUUUCUUUCAUUCCAUCUGUCUUGCUUGAUUUGUUAAACAGGGUGCUUUGAUAAGACUGUUCCGCAGAGAGUUUCUAUGAUGGCCCCAAAACACACCCAUUUUUCAAUCGUAGAGAGACUUUUCAAUUGCGAGCUACGAUUAGAGCUCAAUA